This is an RNA transcript of Bactrocera dorsalis (oriental fruit fly), 2021 nucleotides long. It is a transcript of the gene named acyl-protein thioesterase 2, with no coding region annotated. The transcript has 8 exons. NCBI's taxonomy places the organism in Eukaryota, Metazoa, Arthropoda, Insecta, Diptera, Tephritidae. The record is from RefSeq and is a predicted model, not a curated record.
UUUUGCAGAAAUUGAAAUAAGGUGUUGGCAACGUUGUGGAAGUGCCUGCGCUGUUGUUGGGAAGUUUUCGAGCCUUUGCUGUUGUAAGAGCAAGUAUUUUGGGAAAUAUAUAGCAGGAAAAACUAAUACGGAUUGUUGGUACGUGUCAACAAUAACAGCAACAAACAUUGGAAAUUCUGCUAUCAAAAGUUUGUUUAGCCAAAUCAGCGGUGCAGACACGUCGCUCCCAAUUCAUCCCGUCACUUUAAGCGCUGAGCUUGGUAUUGUUUUGCACAAUUUCUGUGUGCAUCAAUCUUAAUUGAAUUGAAUUGUACCUGAAUGCAUGUACAUACAAACAUAUACAAUUCUUAUACAUAACUCUUAACGUGAAGCAGUGUGUAUGUGACUACAACAAACAAUAUCAACUUUAAACAAUUGAUUUGUCGUAAAAGAAAGACAACGCAUAACACACGUGUAGGACACAACAUUGUGGAAGGAAAACAAUUGUGUUUGUUAGUGUCAGGAUAUUUGCUAAUCACACUUUUGCUUGUAUCAACUGUUAGUUGGCUAUUAUUGUGGUUAAACGAAAGCAACAUGUCGAUUGCGCCAGUGAUAAUUGAGGCAACCGCCAAACAUACGUCAACCCUCAUCUUCAUGCACGGCUUAGGUGACACUGGCCAUGGAUGGAGUUCAGCGUUGGCGACAAUACGUCCGCCCAGCAUGAAAGUAAUCUGUCCAACAGCACCCACAAUGCCGGUGUCACUGAAUGCCGGCUUUCGUAUGCCUUCUUGGUUUGAUUUACGUACGCUCGAUAUAACGGGUCCCGAAGAUGAGGAGGGCAUCAAAAGUGCUGCUCAAAAUAUAAAAAGUAUGAUUGAUGACGAAGUCACCAAAGGUAUAGCAUCGAAUCGUAUUGUGCUGGGUGGUUUCUCACAGGGUGGUGCAUUAGCAUUGUAUACAGCGCUAACAUACAAUCAACCACUGGCUGGUGUUGUAGCGCUAUCCUGUUGGUUGCCAUUGCACAAGCAAUUUCCAGGCAUGAAAACCAACUCCGACGAAAUGCCAGUUUUUCAGGCACAUGGUGACUUCGAUCCUGUUGUACCAUACAAGUUUGGUCAAUUAAGCGCUAGUUAUUUAAAGACAUUUAUGAAGAAAGUUACAUUUAAGACAUACAAUGGGCUAUCACAUUCCUCAUCGGAUGAUGAAAUGGAUGAUGUGCGGGAUGUACUGGCCUCUUGGGUAAAUUAAAUUGCAAAAUUAUUAAAAUACAAUACACUAGUAAACAAAAUGAACAUACAUAUAAUUAGUGUGCAUAGUUAAGCGCAGUGGUGACAGUAGAAAAAGUGAUACUUCAACGGUGGAUGCUAGCGGAAAUGCCACAGCUCAAUGCUGUCUAAUAUCAUAGUAGCAAAUCUGUGAUUUUCUUUGAAGAUUUAUGUGAUGAUAAUGUUGAAGAUGAGUAUGAGGCACAAACAAAAACACAUUUUUAUUAAUGCAACAAAACUGCAACUCGUAAACUCAUAAACAUGAAACUAAUAACUAACGUGAAAAUAUAAUAAAGGUGAAAACUUUAAUUUAAGGUACAUAUAUAACAAAGCAGCAACUCAAACAACUCAAAAAUACAUUUUUUUUGCAAAUAGUUUAUUCAAAGUAAUGAAUGAAUUAAUAAUUUUCCACACGAAUUCGGCGUGUAUUUUUACAAGCACGCUUAAAGAAAAACUUAAAAAAACAUUUACUGAUUUUUGCACGUUUUUACAUUUGGCGCAAUAAAUUUUAUUUAAUUGUUUUUUUAGGAGUAGUCAAAUGUAGACCGUAAUUUCUGCUGUUACUAGUUGUUAAACUGAAACUUAUACCUUUAACGUAUAACGUAGCGUGACUGAACUAUAUUAUUACAAUAUAUAUUAUAUAAUUACUAUUAGAAGUAGCUAAAUGUGAAGCGAAAAAGAGGUUAGAAAAAAAAAAACACUAUGAAAACUAAGAAUAAUGAAAUUGAAGUAAAUAAUUAAUAAAAUACAGAAAUGCAAUAUAUAAAAUACCACAAA